CCAUAUGGUGAACAAUUUAUUGGAGAUAAACAUUAACAUAACUUGGCCAUAGCUUGAAGCAUAGCAACAUAUGCCUAUGAAUGGCAUUCAUGCUGGUAGCAAUGCAAUCAUAUCGUUUUAGGCUUGUCCAGCUUCUUCCAUCUUAGCAAGCACUCCCAUUUCUUCCAUCUUAGCAACAACUGUCAAACUGAGAUAUGAAAAUCCCGUUAGCACAUGAGUUAGUUUUGCAGUGGAAAUAGAGUACAAGAUGUCUUCAUGAUGUAAGUAACAUGCCUGAAGUUGUGAGAUGGGAAGUGAAGUCAACAAAUUACAUUAACGGAAAUGCAUGGAAGGCCACGCAUGCAUACGUAUUAGUCCACGAUAUGCUACAAAGCCUUGUAUGUACACAUAACAAAUUAAAUGCAUUGAAUAGAGUGAGUUUAGUGAAUUUUACCGGAAUCGGUCAGAGUACAUGGGAAACAGCAAGUGUUCUUGCAGAUGAAGUCGGGGCUACCCGCAGCAAUACAAGCAAAACAACAUGCUUUUGCUCGGGUGGAUACGCAGCAGCCGCACUGUGCCGCGGUGGCCGGGUUAACAUUGAGGCUCAAGAUGACCAGGCACAUGAUCACCAUCAAAGCGGUAGUCCUCUUUCCCUCCAUUGCCUUCUCUUGCUGCUACCUUCCUUGGUUACCUAGCUAAGUUUAUUGGUUUUGUGUUGAGAGGUGAUUCUUGAAUGGACGUUGCCGGCUGCAAUUUACAUGGUAGGCAAAAAUGGAGGGGAGAUUUACUCCCGGUUGGUAUUUGCAACUGGGACUAAAGGCCCCCCUUUAGUCCCGGUUGUAACGGCUAGUUCUAGGGCGUCGGUGGGUUUACUGGCUCCAACCGGGACAAAAGGGUGGGUGGACCUUUUGUCCUGGUUGGUGUUACCAACCGGGACAAAUAGUUUACUCCCGGUUGGAGGUUCCAACCGGGACAAAAGGGCCACCCCUUUUGUCCCGGUUGGAGCCUCAAACCGGGAGUAAACUUUCAACCGGGACAAAAGGUGUUUCUUUUUGUGUCGGUUGGAGUUUCUAACCGGGAUAAAAACUCAUCCCCAUUAUAUACCAAGACAGAGGCCUUUCUUCCUCCUCCAGCCCGAGCCAGUCCACCACAAAGACAGAGAGCUCAGCUUCACCUACUCUCCGGUGGUGUCGAAGCAAGGGAGGUGCUGCCCGAAUUUCUUUUCCCUCAUUUUCGUGGGAAUUUCACUCAGCCAACACAAGUGUUGUGAAGGUUUGCUACUUCAUCCUCGUGUUACGCUUUAAUUUAUGCUUUGGAGAUGGAAAGUUUAUUUGCUAGAAUGUGAUGAAGUAGAAAAUGGAGAGGUACUUUGAGCUAGAAUGUGAGGGAGAUUGAUGUGUCAUAUAUAGUAUGUAUUCUUGCAGUGAUUUAAGAAUGAUGCUACCUUGUCUAGACGGUUUAUCUUAUCAAAUUCAAUAUGGUUUUUAAAAUCCAUACUUGUUGAACUUGCAUACCGUGUUCAUGUCGGCGAGAAUGUUCUCUGCCGAGCAGCUACGUAUGUCAAGAAGGAGGUUCGAUUCUACGAGAAAGAGUGGAUACGGACAUCGUGACCGUGUCCCCUUUUUCGUAGAAUCGAACCUCUUUCAUGACGAAGUGCGGUGCCGCCAACUAGGUANNNNNNNNNNNNNNNNNNNNNNNNNNNNNNNNNNNNNNNNNNNNNNNNNNNNNNNNNNNNNNNNNNNNNNNNNNNNNNNNNNNNNNNNNNNNNNNNNNNNNNNNNNNNNNNNNNNNNNNNNNNNNNNNNNNNNNNNNNNNNNNNNNNNNNNNNNNNNNNNNNNNNNNNNNNNNNNNNNNNNNNNNNNNNNNNNNNNNNNNNNNNNNNNNNNNNNNNNNNNNNNNNNNNNNNNNNNNNNNNNNNNNNNNNNNNNNNNNNNNNNNNNNNNNNNNNNNNNNNNNNNNNNNNNNNNNNNNNNNNNNNNNNNNNNNNNNNNNNNNNNNNNNNNNNNNNNNNNNNNNNNNNNNNNNNNNNNNNNNNNNNNNNNNNNNNNNNNNNNNNNNNNNNNNNNNNNNNNNNNNNNNNNNNNNNNNNNNNNNNNNNNNNNNNNNNNNNNNNNNNNNNNNNNNNNNNNNNNNNNNNNNNNNNNNNNNNNNNNNNNNNNNNNNNNNNNNNNNNNNNNNNNNNNNNNNNNNNNNNNNNNNNNNNNNNNNNNUGUUGAUUUUAUUGACUCAAUUGACUCGAUUGGGGUUCCAACUUCACGCCACGAGGGGAGGCUCCGGGAAAUGGGCACCCUUGGAAGGAAAUCAAGUUUGAGCAAUGAUACUGAUUUGUUCGACAAGGCACACUACACUGUUCUGCAAUAGUCAUCCUUUGUGUCUCCCUAUAUCGAGCAGCACAGGCAGAUGGUAGUUUUCCAAAAACCUGAUGAAAUCCGAUGCUUGGCUUACACAUCAUCACAUGGAAACUUUUUCCUCCUGGUUGCGCCAACAACUCAUGGGUAACUCUGAGAUUUACCCACAGCUCGCUUGGUUAGCCAGGGGACCUGCUAGCACAAUCGUGAAAUUCCAAGGCUAUGAGAUAAAUAGUUAUACAUUUUACACGAGAGCCCAGGACCAGAAAAGCACGAACCAGAAUAGUGGUGUCCGCAUAGAUGCCAUAGAUAGAAAUAAUAACAAGGAGUCGUAUUAUGGUUUCAUACAGGAGAUAUGGGAACUCGAAUAUGGACCGCUGUACAUCUCUGUAUUUCUUUGCAAUUGGGUGAAGCUAACUGCCGUAACCAAAGAUCAGUACGGAAUGACAAUAGUAGAUCUGAGCAAGACUGGAUACAGUGAUGACCCAUUCGUACUUGCGAAUGAUGUGCAUCAGGUUUUCUAUGUGAAGGACAUGUCUAGCAAACCCAAGAGAAAUCCAGAAGAGACAUGGGAGCCAAAGUGCCACAUAGUUCUUCCAGGUAAAGAAAAAUCGUUGGAGUCGAGGANNNNNNNNNNNNNNNNNNNNNNNNNNNNNNNNNNNNNNNNNNNNNNNNNNNNNNNNNNNNNNNNNNNNNNNNNNNNNNNNNNNNNNNNNNNNNNNNNNNNNNNNNNNNNNNNGAUCAUGAUCAAGGAACUUUUGUGAAGAAGAAAUUUUACAACGUUGUAUUGUAAUGCGCUAAAUUUACUUGACCUUUGUGAAGUACUUGAUACAAUUUUUAAUUUAACCUAUGUAUGAUUUCAUGUGUUCUUAAAUUUGUUGAGGUGAAGAUUUAUUAGAUAAACAUGAACAAUGUUAACCACAUACAUACAUGGAUUUUUUUUGCGCGUUGAAAUUAUUUAAUUGAAUAAUUUCUCGAUCAUUGCGAUGCAGUAAAAUAAUUAUUUUAGAGGCUAAACGAACUGGUAUAGAAUUAAUGACUAAUUCACACUUAUUGUCAAUAUACUGGCUAAUUAAAUAUAUUUUUGCAUGUUCAAAAUAUGUGAAGUUUUUUGUUUUUGCAUCCUGAAAUGCAGUGAAAACAUACAUAAAAUCCUUUUCCAAAAAACAGGCGGGAGAUGAAAGUGUGGGAAAAGGCCCUUUUGUCCCGGGUGCCAAUAGAAACCGAGACAAAAGGACCUUUUAUCCCUGUUGCCAAAAGCAACCGGGAUCAAAGGCCGUCCCUUUUGUCUCGGGUGCCAACACCAAUCGGGACAAAAGGCCCCCUGUUUAUCCCGGUUGACAACUACAACCGGGAUAAAAGGGUAGUUUUCGUUUCCCACCGGGGACGUACCCUUUUAUCCUGGUUACAGUUAGCAACCGGGAUAAAAGGGGGGCCCUUUUGUCCCGGUUGGUGUUGGUACCCAGGACAGAAGGGCCUUUAGUCCCGGGUUCAAUUACGAACCGGGAUAAAAGAGGGGGGGGGGGAUAAAAGGCACUGUAGCCUCUUCUACCACCACCCACGCUAGUUACGACACUUAGCCAAAUUUUCACCGCUGCCAAGAUCCCGUGCCCUUCCACCUGCUCCGUCGCCGCCCAUCCGCCUCCCUCGCCGGCCGCCGUCGUCCUCGUCGUCCAUCGCCCCGACCAUCGUCGUCCCGCCGCCCGACCGCCUCGCCCGCGCCCGGACCGCCUCCUCCUCCAUCGCCCCGGCCCGCCUCCGAUCCUCCUCCGUCGCGCCCCCUCGACCUCGUCGCCGCCGGCCGCCUCCAUCGCGGGGCCUCGUCGCCGCCUCCAUCAACGCCACAUUCUCUGUCGCCGCCGCGCCCUCGUUCGUCGCGCCGCCUCGUCGCCGCCUCUGUCGCGCGCGCCGCCUCCGUCCUUCGUCGCCGGCCGCCUCCGUCCCUCGUCGUCGGCCGCCUCCGCCCGUUGUUGCUGCGGCCACCUCGCUCCGUCCCCGCCUCCGCCAUCCCACCGCCCCGGCCGCCGCCGUCACGCCGUCCCGGCCAUCUCGUCGCCCAGCUAGGCACCGCGCGAGGUCCGCCGGCACUGGCGCCGGGAACGAACGGCUCUUGCUGACGCAAACCCACCGGCUUGUCGUAAGCAAGGGCCUUUUUUAUUUUUUAGUUAGAAAAUGAAUAGAUAUUAGUAGAUUAGUUAGAAAAUCAAUAGAUAUUUGUAGAUUAGUUAGAAAAUUAGUAGAAAAUCAGUUGAUAAAUUUUGUAGAAAUUCAUUCAAAUUAGUAGGAAUUAGUAGUAAUGUGCUAGAAAUUCAAAUAAAUAUGUUGAAAUUAGUAGAAAUUUGGUAGAAAUUCUUACAAAGUACUACUAAUUUGUUGAAAUUUGUAUAAACAUUCCAAACUUUGUGGGAUUCAUGUUAUUGUAAAAUUAUUAGGCAUUAGUAGAAAUUUUGUAGAAAUUCCAAUAAAUAUGUAGAAAUUAGUAGAAAUUUGGUAGAAAUUCUUACAAAGUACUACUAAUUUGUUGAAAUUUGUAUAAACAUCUCGGAUCAGCGCUUGGGUUCUGUAAGUGUCCGUUUAUCUACAUGUAAAUUUUGCCUCAUAUCAUUAUUUUUUUUGCGUGCGUCACCGUACUAACUUCGUCUUCCAUUUUAUGUAGCAUGCUAAUUCAGACGUGCCGACGUGAGGCGUACCUACAUAUUGGCUUCAUGAAUCCAUCCGUAGUUAACCAAAAACAGAUACAAUUAUCGCCGGAAAAAACCUUGGUGGAAGUAUACAAUUUCCUAGAUAAACAAAAAUUCAAGGAUUUCAUACUACUUCCAUACAACUUCAAGUAAGUGUGUGUAUACCGUCUACUUUCGUUGUCUUUUUCCUUACCUGAUUAAUUAGUUAGCUCUAAUAUGCAUGAACAUUUUACGUACGCAACUUCCACUGGAUCCUCAUUAUAGUUGAGCUUGAAAGAAGCCAUGUCACUGUCUUCGAUUUGUUGAGGAAAGAUCCAGUGGAGUACCAAGACAUGCAAGACAUGCUAGGCUUGUAAUAAUUCUGGACCUUUAUCUCUAUGCAAAAGUUUGUUUCCUAAAUUUUAUCCCUGUUACACUAUAUCAUUCAUUAUUCUAAUCUACAGCGCAUGGAAACAAUUCAUAAGGACACACAAAGAUCCAUUCAAAGAAAAACUUACAUGGAACACAGACUUCCCGUUACGUAUGAAGUCUGCACAUUUAGUACAUUGUAUAACACGAAUAUUUCAUAACUUAUUUUUUUCGGCACUGAAGUGCUUAAGACAGGAACUCGGGAAUAAUCUAUGUGGCUACUACAUCUGUGAGCACAUGCACAGUUUUAUGGGACCCAAGGGACUAAAGAUGAUGCCGCAAAACUUUAAAGUACGUAAAAUAAAACUAUUACUAGUUAAUUAUUUUCUAGCUCCUUAUAUUUAAUUGUUCGUGUAACAUUCACAAAUUUCCAAAUUAUAGAUGUUAAAUAUUCAACAAGGACUCUUGAAGAAAAAAAAGGGUAGCGGCAAUAUGUGAAGGUCUCAUUGGAUUCCUAAUGGACGAGGUGGUAAAUCCACAAGGAGAAUUUUAUUACGAUGGACGUCAAUUAGACGCUCCGAGCAACACCUCGACGGGAAGAUUGUAGAUAUAUAGUUUGAUUUGUAUACAUAAUGCACGCUAAGAUCGAUUUGUAUAUAUAGUUGAUUUCAUUAUACUAGUUGAAUUUUGUAUAUGAAUUGUGUAUAUAUAGUAAUUGUAUAAUUACAAAUUUUAUUCGUUUAAAUACUAGUUGAUUUCAUUAUAAAAAAAGUCUCAACUACUAAAGGUUAACAAAAGGGCCGCGGUACUACGUACGUGAUGCAUGAAAAUUUCAGACGCCAUGCAGGAAAAUUUAAAUAGGACUUUAGUCUCGGUUGGGAAAUCCAACCGGGACUAAAGGGUAACCACUCAUGUGCGCCACCUGUAUUCUACCAAGUGGCAUGUGGUAAUGCCAUGUUUGUUUUAAUUUCGUCCAUCAGCAUUCACAAUGAUAUCAUCACCAUUAUGUAAUUAUGCCACUUUUAAUUUUCUUGCAACUCUGUGAAGUUAACAGUCUCUGAUCAAGUUUCUGAGGAUUGCUAUAUCUUUGUUUAUUAUCUACGGAAGUUGACAGCACAUCCACCAUAAUUCAUGGCCCACCAGACUCUAAGUCCACUGCGAGUAUAUAUUAAUUUGUUUUAAUCCGACUAUACUAGAUGUGUACCAAUCAUUCGAUGUGAGGGACGAACUAAUUGUUUCUUGUCGACUAUUGCACCGUACCUCUCGUUUUCCAAACAAUUAAAUGGUACCCUUCCAUGAUGGUUAAAACAUACCGACUAUCUAUAUUAUUGCUUUCUUGAGCAUACCAAAGGGAACGAGAUAAUCACAGACAAGAUAUUAUAUACUAAAAGGUACAGAAAUAAAUAUAAAUUAAUCACGAGUUAAUUGGUAUGAUGAUGUUAUAGAUCAUUUAUAUACUGCGCCGUUCAACUUCUGUGGCCUGUCCGGCUUCUUCCUUUCCCCAUAUAAUGUAAUACGUUCAACUCAAAUGAAUGAAAUCAAAUUAUGCGUGUAUUAUUCUCGCUUUCAGUAGGGGCUAAAUCUCUCGAAAAUCCAUCCGGGAUAAAGAUGAGAAAUUAAUCCAUGCGUGGCUUCAUGCAAAUUUGUUCAGAUCAGGUUUGAACAGCAUGUAAUCUUUUUCAGGCAUCUAUAUGGAGCGUGGGUGUGUUAUGUUAUCUUCUACUACACAUAUAACAUUAAAUUCAUUCAGUUUGGCCGAGAGCCCAAAAUGCAACGAAUAUGCCAUCCAACGUGAAAAAAAGAUGUGGAACAGUAUACUCUAUCUUCGAAAUUAAUUAACGAGAUUCAGCUUCAAAAGAGAUAAGAGCAGACAAGAGGCACAUGGGUGCAUGCAUCCACACCUUGGGAUGCUGCAAAAUUUGGGAUCACGUGUGCGGAUCCCUAAUUAGGAAAAAAGAAUAAUUGUGCUAGCAAAAUGUGGAACACGACUGCCGGCCCAGUUGGCGCUAAGACAUCGUACGUGCAUUAAGUCUGAGGUGCCCAACGAUCUCUUUCUUUAACUCAUGCUUGACUGUGACGGUGCUAUUAUAUAAUAUUGCAUGAUCAUCAUGAUAAGAUCGUAUAGUGACUGAGUGAGACAUGUACUAUAACUUGCAUUUAAGCCUCGAACUGUGUGUCGUUACGUGAGCUGCCUCCUCUCCUCGCCUCUGAAUUAUUGAACCGUUUCCAACAGUGUUGGUCUCGACGAAAUUUGACACCAACCAGAUUUACGAAGAAAAGAGAAUAAUACUUGGAAUUGGGAAAAGUUGAUCUCUCUUUACAAUGGGUAGGUGCUCCCCUUUUAUAGUGACCCAUGACCCCCUUUACAUUCCAAAAAUAUCCUUUCUCAACCACUACAUUCCUAGGAUAUGCCGUACAAAUUGAACUCUUCCACGUGGUCACAUUUCUCACGCCUCCUGUUUUCCAACCUCGAGACUUCAUCUUCACGCCAAGUUGAUCAUCUAGCCUCGAGGCUCCAUCCACGAUCCGGAAUGAACGUCCAGCCUCGAGGCUCCUGCUUGUUAGAAGAACCGUCGUAUGAGACGAGGAUUGUAUCUUAGAGAUAAGAGUUGUUAUGGUUUGAGUUGGCCGGCUAGUAGAUAGAGAUAGAAUCUUGAUGUAUUUGAAUGCUGGCUAAACUUUAUCUAUAACAAGAUGCAUUGUAAUCUGUUGGGACUUUCCCCCUAUAUAAACGUGCAACCACGGCGAGCCAAGAUAGGGCAACCGUGUUCAACUCUUUUGACAUGGUAAUCAGAGCCCUUCUUCCAUAAAAUACAUCUACAUCUACACCACCUGGCGCACGCCACCUUGUUGCCUGGCACACGUCAUCACCUUGCAUGCAACAGUCAUGGUGUCAUCAUCGUCGUCGUCAGCCACUGCGCCCACGGCGUCGCAGCUUGGAGCUCCUGUAGCUGAAAAGCUUACAGGGGAGAAUUAUGUCUUAUGGAAGGCUCAAUUCUUGCCUGCUGUGCGGGCGCACAGCUCAUGGGAGUCCUCAAUGGAUCUGUCAAGGAGCCGGCUAAGACCAUGGAACUGGUGAAGGCUGACGGCAAGAAAGAAUUAGUCGCUAACCCGGAUUAUGAUCUAUGGGUGGUGAAGGAUUAACAACUGCUGAGUUAUCUGCUCAACUCCAUGACCAAAGAAGUGCUGGCACAAGUGGUGUCCGAAACAACUCUAUGGGUGGAGAAAGCAGUGCUUCGUUAUUUGCGAAGAUGUCAUGAAGAUGCUGUUGCGGCGGGUCAGGAACCUCCUUUUGGUGGUCGUUAUGCUCCACCGCCAUUCCCGGGUGUUUUAGGUCCACUUAUUAGUACUACUGUUGCAGGAGGUACAGAUAAACCACAUGAUGAGGCUGCCUCAGCGAAACCUUCAUCUUCGCCGCCCAAGGAUGCAUGAAGUCCUUCUAGAUAGUACUAAGUGGAUGGUUUGUCGUAGUGUAUCAUGUUGUUGUUGCUCUCAAAUUUAAAUUUGUGUAUUUCUACGUAAACUUUCAGCAACAUUUGAGUGUAAUCAAUUUUCACGCGUAAUCCAUUGUCAAGUGUAAUCCAUUUUCAUGCGUAAUACGAUGCAGAUGGACCGGCAAUGGAUGUAUAAUGCAGACAGGCGGAGCAAGGUGUUUAUUGAUGGCUUGUAUUAUUUUCUCGAAGUGGCCAAAGCGAACAAGCUAGAGAAUGGGUUCGUAUGUUGUCCAUGCUUCCAAUGCAAUAACAAGAAGGAGUAUUCAAAGGAUUCCUGGGGGACUAUUCACAGCCACUUGUUUAAAUACGGUUUCAUGCCUAACUAUUUGGUUUGGACCAAGCACGGUGAACUAGGGGUCGUAAUGGAAGAUGGCGAGGAGGAGGAGGAAGAUGACACCAUUUCGGACUGGGUUGCAGGCCAAGCUUUUGCAGGUACUACAAUGGGCGAGGCUGAUGAAGAUGGGUUUGCAGAAAAUGGCCCUACUGAUGACCUUGGUCAGGUGAUACGAGAUGCAUACAGAGAUUGCGAAACUGAGAAGGAAGCAGCAAAGUUGCAGCGCAUGAUAGAUGAUCACCAAAAAUUGUUGUACCCAAGUUGCCAGCAGGGCCAUAAAAAACUAGGUACGAUACUAGAAUUUGUGCAAUGGAAGGCAAAAAAUGGUGUGUCCGAUAAGGCAUUUCAGGGGACGUUGAACAUUGUCAAGAAGAUUCUCCCCGAGAAUAAUGAAUUACCGUGCACAACAUAUGAAGCUAAACAGAUUAUUUGCCCUCUCGGAUUGGAUGUUCAGAAGAUACACGCAUGCCCUAAUGACUGUAUCCUCUAUCGUGGUGAUGAAUAUGAGAAAUUGGAUGUUUGUCCCGUCUGCGAAGCCCUGCGGUAUAAGAUCAGGCGAGAUGAUCCUGGUGAUAUCGAGGGGCAGUCUCCCAAGAAGAGAGUUCUCGCGAAGGUGAUGUGGUAUUUCCCUAUAAUACCACGCUUGAAGCGCUUGUUCAGGAACAAGGCGAAUGCUAAGUUGAUGCGAUGGCACAAAGAAGACCGUAAGGAAGAUGAGAUGCUGAGACACCCCGCAGAUGGGGCACAACGGAGAUCAAUUGAUAGAGCAUUCCCGGACUUUGAAAGUGAAGCAAGGAACAUAAGGUUUGGUUUAAGUACUGAUGGAUUCAAUCCAUUCGGUGAGUUGAGUAGUGGCCAUAGUACUUGGCCUGUGACCCUUUGUAUGUUCAACCUUCCUCCUUGGCUGUGCAUGAAGUGGAAGUUCAUUAUGAUGCCGGCGCUUAUCCAAGUCCCAAAACAACCCGGCAACGACAUUGACGUGUACCUAAGACCGUUGGUUGAUGACCUUUUACAGCUCUGGAAGGAAGAAGGUGUACGUGUGUGGGAUGAGGAUAGACAAGAGAUCUUUAAUCUACGAGCAUUGUUGUUCGUAACCAUCAAUGAUUGGCCUGCAUUGAGUAACCUUUCAGGACAGACAAAUAAGGGAUAUCGGGCAUGCACCCACUGUUUAGACGACACAAACAACAUGUAUUUGAAGCAUUGUAAGAAGGUCAUCUAUAUGGGUCAUCGUUGAUUUCUCCCUGCUCACCACCAGCUGAGAAAGAGCGGGAUGCAUUUCAAAGGGGCGCCAGACCAUCGUAAAAAACCUGCACACCGUAAUGGAAAGCGUGUCUUCGAGAUGAUGAAGGAUGUAAAUGUAGUCUUUGGAAAGGGUCUUGGUAGCCAACCUGUUCCGAACGACGAUAACGGACAUGCACCCAUGUGGAAGAAAAAGUCAAUAUUUUGGGAGCUACCUUAUUGGGAAAUCCUAGAGGUUCGCAACGCAAUAGACGUGAUGCACCUGACGAAGAAUCUUUGCGUGAACGUGCUAGGCUUCAUGGGUGUUUAUGGGACCUCAAAAGAUACAUUGGAAGCACGACAGGACCUGAAAGCCAUGGGGCAACGAGAUGACCUACAUCCGGAAAAGAGAGAUAAUGGACAUCACUACUUACGUCCUGCCAGUUACACUCUCAGCAAGGAAGAGAAGGAUAGCAUGUUUGAAUGCUUGAAUAGUAUGAAGGUCCCGUUUGGGUACUCCUCGAAUAUAAAAGGAAUAAUAAAUAUGAAACAAAAGAAGUUUACAAAUCUCAAGGCUCAUGACUGCCACAUGUUGAUGACCCAGUUGCUUCCAGUUGCACUGAGGGGUGUUCUACCAGAAAAUGUCCGGUUGCCGCUCGUAAAGCUAUGCGCGUUUCUCAAUGCGAUUUCGCAAAAGGCAAUCGAUCCAUCCAAGCUAUCAAAGCUACAGAACGAUGUGGUGCAAUGUCUUGUCAGUUUUGAGUUGUUAUUUCCACCAUCCUUCUUCAAUAUUAUGACGCACUUACUGGUUCACCUAGUUAAAGAGAUUGGUAUUCUCGGACCUGUAUACCUGCACAAUAUGUGGCCUUUCGAGAGGUUCAUGGCAGUCCUAAAAAACUAUGUUCUUAAUCGUGCCUGUCCAGAAGGAAGCAUUGUCAAGGGAUAUGGAAUAGAGGAGGUGAUCGAGUUUUGUGUUGAUUUUAUUGAUUCAAUUGACUCGAUUGGGGUUCCAACUUCACGCCAUGAGGGGAGGCUUCGAGGAAUGGGCACCCUUGGAAGGAAAUCAAGUUUGAGCAAUGAUACUGAUUUGUUCGACAAGGCACACUACACUGUUCUACAACAGUCAUCCUUCGUGUCUCCGUAUAUCGAGCAGCACAGGCAGAUGGUAGUUUCCAAAAACCCGACCAAAUCCGAUGCUUGGCUUACCCGUCAUCACAUGGAAACUUUUCCCUCCUGGUUGCGCCAACAACUUAUGGGUAACUCUGAGAUUCACCCACAGCUUGCCUGGUUAGCCAGGGGACCUGCUAGCACAAUCGUGAAAUUCCAAGGCUAUGAGAUAAAUGGUUAUACAUUUUACACGAGAGCCCAGGACCAGAAAAGCACGAACCAGAAUAGUGGUGUCCGCAUAGAUGCCAUGGACAGAAAUAAUAGCAAGGAGUCGUAUUAUGGUUUCAUACAGGAGAUAUGGAAACUCGAAUACGGACCGCUGUACAUCCCUAUAUUUCUUUGCAAUUGGGUGAAGCUAACUGCCGUAACCAAAGAUCAGUACGGAAUGACAAUAGUAGAUCUGAGCAAGACUGGAUACAGUGAUGACCCAUUCGUACUUGCCAAUGAUGUGCAUCAGGUGUUCUAUGUGAAGGACAUGUGUAGCAAACCCAAGAGAAAUCCAGAAGAGACAUGGGAGCCAAAGUGCCACAUAGUUCUUCUAGGUAAAAGAAAAAUCGUGGGAGUCGAGGAUAAAACAGACCAAUCAGAUGAUUAUGAUCAGUUUGAUGGCAUGCCUCCAUUCGCCGUUGAAGUUGAUCCAAGCAUCCUGCUAUCUAAAGAAGAGGCUCCGUACUUACGCCGCGAUCAUGAUCAAGGAACUUUCGUGAAGAAGAAAUUUUACAACGUUGUAUUGUAAUGCGCUAAAUUUACAUGACCUUUGUGUAUUAAUUGAUACAAUUUUUAAUUUACCCUAUGUAUGAUUUCAUGUGUUCUUAAAUUUGUUAGGUGAAGAUUUUUUAGAUAAACAUGAACAAUGUUAACCACACACAUACAUGGAUUUUUCUGCGCAUUGAAAUUAUUUAAUUGAAUAAUUCUUGAUCACAGCGAUGCAGUAAAAUAAAUAUUUUAGAGGCUAAAUGAACUGGUAUAGAAUUAAUGACUAAAUCACACUUAUAGUCAAUUUACUCGCUAAUUAAAUAUAUUUUUGCAUGUACAAAAAUAUGUGAAGGUUUUUGUUUUUCAUCCUGAAAUGCAGUGAAAAGAUAAAUAAAAUCCAUUUCCAAAAAACUUGCGGGAGAAGAAAACUAGGAAAAAGACCUUUUGUCCCGGGUGCCAACAGCAACCGCGACAAAAGGCGUCCCUUUUAUCCCGGCUGCAAACUGCAACCGGGAUAAAAGGGUAUUUUUCGACUCCCGCCUGGACGUACCCUUUUAUCCCGGUUGCCAACUGCAACCGGGAUAAAAGGUCCCCCCCUUUUAUCCCGGUUGGUGGUGGGAUCCGGGAUAAAAGGGUAGGCUCCCAGGCCAUCCUGGCGGACGCACCCUUUUGUCCCGGGUGCCAUUACGAACCGGGAUAAAAGGGGGGGGGGUUAAAUGGCACUGUAGCCCCUUCUACCCCCCACGCCAGUUACACUUAGCAAAAUUUUCGCCAAGUCUGCGCGCGCUCUGCUCCAUCGCCGCCCGUCCGCCUCCCUCGCCGGCCGCCGCCGCCGUCGUCCCCCAUUGCCCCGGCUAUCGUCGUCCCGCCGCCGACCGCGCCCAGACAUCCUCCUCCUCCAUCGCCCCGGCCGGCCUGCCUCGAUCCUCCUCCGUCGCGCCCGACCCCUACCUCGUCGCAGCCGGCCACCAGCUCCAUCGCGGGCCUCGUCGCCGCCUCCAUCCUCGUCACCGCCUCGUCGCCCCGGGUCGCCGCCUCGUCGCCCUUCGUCGCCCCUCGUCGCCGCCUCAUCACCGUCCCGCCUCCGCCAUCCCGCCGUCCCGCGCGCCUUCGCUCCGUUGUCGCCUCCGCCGUCCCGCCGCCCCGGCCGUUACCGUCCCGCUGCCCCGGCCGCCGCCGUCCCGCCGCCCCGGCCACCUCGUCGCCCCGGCCACCGUCGACCGCGCGCGAGAGGUCCGCCGCGCCGGCCGGCACUGGCGCCGGGAGUACCGCCUUGCUGACGCAAGCCCACCGGCUUGCGUCAGCAAGGGCCUUUUUUUUAAGUUAGAAAAUAAAUAGGUAGUAAUUAGGUAGAAAUUCAAUAGAUUUCUGUAUAUGUGUUAGAAAAUCAAAAUAGUGUAAAUUAGUAGUAAUUAGUAGUAAUUAGGUUCAUCGCUCCGCCUAGGUUAGAAAUGAAUCGUGUUUCGUCGUGGUUCCGUCCCCGUCUCCGCCGUCCCGCCGCCCUGACCGCCAUCGUCCCAACCUAGGCACCGUCCGUGGUUCCGUCCCCGCCUCCGCCCUUCAGCCUCCGUCGCAAAUUCAUGUUAUUGCUAGAAAUUCCAAUAAAUAUGGACAAAUUAGUAGAAAUUUGGUAGAAAUUAAUCAUUGCUAAGGCCACCUCACUCCGUCCUUGCCUCCUUUGUUCCGCCGCCCCGGCCUCUGCAAAUUCAUGUUAUUGCUAGAAAAUCGUAAAAAUUCAUGUUAUUGCUAGAAAAUCGUAAAAAUUCAUGUUAUUGCUAGAAAUUCGUAAAAAUUCAUGUUAUUGCUAGAAACUCGUACAAAAUUCAUGUUAUUGCUAGAAAUUCGUAAAAAUUCAUGUUAUUGCUAGAAAUUCGUAAAAAUUCAUGUUAUUGCUAGAAAUUCGUACGAAUUCAUGUUAUUGCUAGAAAUUUGUCACAAAGUACUACUAAUUUGUAGAAAUUUGUAUAAAUAUUCCGAACUUUGUGGGAUUCAUGUUAUUUUAUGAUUUCAUGUAUAUACCCGUAUGUACAUAUAACUAAGGCGAUUUCUAUGACUGUCAUGUAUGAUUCCAUGUAUGUUUCAAUCAAUAGUUGAAAUGGCAGACGAUGAGACCGCAAGGUAUAUCAUGGAGCAGAUAAUCGCUGGUGAUGGUAGUGGCGACAACCUUUUACUAUCGUACAUGGAUAAAGAGGGCACCCAGGCGGACAUGUUCCUCAACAUGUUCGCUGAUGGGAAUGAAGAGCAAGAGCCCCAGCAACACCUUGCCGUGCCGGAAGGUUCCGGCGAGGUAUAUAUAAUGAUUCUUGUAUUGUUUCACACCACCGUUACUACUACGUACUAAUUAACGAAUCUUGAACUGUUAGCCCUCUGGAUCGACGCAAGGGCAGAAGACCCGAGGUCAUACAAAGGUGAUGGAAGGGAGGCUUGUCAUCACGGAAGUGACAGAAGAGGGCAGGUCGGUUUCUCCCGAGAAAGUAGCAAAGAAGUACGUGAGUCAGAUCGGGGCAAUCAUCCGGGACAACGUGCCUAUCAGCAUCAGAGAAUGGAAGGGCAGAAGCACUAAUCCGUACGUCCUCCCGGAGACAGAAAAGAAUAUGCUGUGGGAAGACGUCAAGAGACAUUUCACAUUCCCUGAAGGAUAUAUUGAGAAGGAUGUGAAAGCGUGGACGCUUAAGAAGAUGGCUACACAAUUCCAGACAUUCAAGAAGAUGCUGGAUACCCACUACAUUAAGAAGGGUCGAACUCCAGACUUCAACGCGUGGCCAAAGUUGAGGGACCACUGGGAUGCAUUUGUUGAAUAUAAGAGGAGUGAAGACGGUGUGAAAAAGAUCAUGACCAACACAACAAAUGCUAGUCAGAAGGGCUACCAUCAUCAUCUGGGGUGAGGUGGGUAUGGCUCAGCAAUUCCCAAGUGGAGGAAGAUGGAACAAGAUCUGAUCGAACGGGGAAUCGUACCGGCAACUAUUGAAUGGCCCGAACAAUCAAAAAAUUGGUACUACGCUCAUGGAGGCUCCUUGAGCCAAGAGGAUGGGACGUUGAUUUUCAAUGACACAAUACGUGAGAAGGCCGAACAUCUUGUGAAGAACAUUGAAGAUUCUAAGGCUGGGAGGUUGAAGGUGGACCGAGAAAAUAAUGAGCUCACAUUGGCCCUCGGUAAUCCGGAGCACCUAGGAUGUUGCCGGGGGUUCGGGGUCGUUCCGUGGAAGUUUGCUUUCCGAGGCGACAGCGCCUCGUACAGAAGCCGGAAGCGAAGAAAGGAACAGAUCGAGGAGAGCUAGCGGCAGAUGCUAGAAUCUAAAGUGCACGCACAAGAACAAAGAAUGAUGGAGGAAAUCUAUCGUCGAGUGGCCCACGCAGUUGCGGAGUUGGCCCAAUCUGGAGCAUUGCCGAAUCCUAACACCGCCAGCCCUUCUCAACGCCUCUUGAGCAGAUGUGCUUCUACAGGUGUCCCCGAUGCGCAGACGCCCAGGUUACCCGUGGAGGAGCAACGGUUCCCCGUGGAUGCCAUCAUGCAACGGACCUCAUGUGAGCUGCAUGCACCGGUCGGCAACCUCACUAUUAAGGUAUACUAGCUUAUACAUAAUAUUUAUGCAAUCUUGUCAAUUGAUCCACGCCUCGAGAUCGGAGUUCAACUUGUUUACUUCUGCUAUAUGUACAGGUAGCGUACGAGAGUGCGUUAGCAACGCUGGCGGGGCAGAGCAGUCAUGGCAUGGAGAUUCCACUUGGCUACGCCAGCGUCCGCGUAGAGCAAAUAGUUGAUAGCCAAUAUGAAGGUCUAGAGCUCGACCUCCCGGGAGGCGACGGGGAAAAGACACUGGAAGAUGCGCUUCAUGGGAUCAUUCUAUGGCGAAAACGCUACAUCAUUAUUCCCGGCACGGAGCCAUCUCCUCAGAGCUCAAGACCGCUCCCCGUAGAUCCCCAGCAGCGGCCUUCUCCUUAUAGCUCGAGACCGUCAUCUCCUGCACAACCUGCACCAGGACCGUCCCUUCCAUCUAUAUCAAGGUCUCCAUCUCCACCACAUCCUGGUGGUGGGAGCGACGACGACAAUAACAACACCCCUCCCCGAUCACCGUCGCCGGCACCAAGAGCGGCCCCCAUGAAGGAACCUGCACCACCACUAAAGAAGUCACGAGCACCGCCUCCCAAGCAAAGACAGAGAAAGAAGAAAACAAGGGAGCCUGAAGUGACUCGUAAGGAACGCUGGGAGGCAAUGUCUCAUGCGGAACAGUGGGCAGAAAUCCAACGAGAGGCCAGUGAGUGGUUCAAGAAACAAGCCGAAGAAAAAAAAGCAAGGGAGAUGGAGCCACCGCCAGUAAAUCGAAAAGAUUUAAACUUUCUUAUCAGGAUGGAAGAAGGAGCCAAUAAAAGGAUACCACUCUUAUCAAACUAUGAACGGGCUUUAGUAAAGGCUGAUGAAAAGGAUAAAAGGAAAGGAAAGUCAUCUUCCAGCAGUGCUGUCCCCGACCUCAGCCAUUUAUCAAAAAAAGACGCUCAACGGGUAAAAGCAAUGCCCUUGCAUCAACAAGCAGAAGUAUUGAAGAUCAUGCAAGAAACAGGUCUGGGACUUGAUGAAUGCCUAGGGCAAGUUGAGAUGCCAACUGCACCGCCCCCUGAGCCGAGAUGGCCUUAUGAGCUAGGCAAACCUCUAGUAAAGCCUUCAUUGGUACGGAAGCUAUCAACAAAGAUGUACGCAUUCCAUCAAUGGUACAUGAUGGUAUCCGCCGACUCGAGGGAGAUGCUCGGCCUGAAGGUAAAACCGAUAGAUUUUCACGGCGAAGGCGAGAAAGUGCUGUGGCUAGACUUCAAGGAUAUAUACGAAGUGUACCAUCAUGAUGCCCUGGACGUCUCUCUGAUCAGCGCUUGGGUUCUGUAAGUGUCCGUUUAUCUCUACAUGUAAAUUUUGGCGUGCGUCACCGUACUAACUUCGUCUUCCAUUUCAUGUAGGAUGCUAAUUCAGACAUGCUGCCGAGAGGCGUACCUACAUAUAGGCUUCAUGGAUCCAUCUGUAGUUAACCAACAACAGAUAUAAUUAGCGCCGAAAAAACCUUGGUGGAAGUAUACAAUUUCCUAGACAAACAAACAUUCAAGGAUUUCAUACUACUUCCAUACAACUUCAAGUAAGUGUGUGUAUACCGUCUACUUUCGAUGUCUUUUUCCUUAUCUCUACAUGUUAGUUAGCUCUAAUAUGCAUGAACAUUUUACGCACGCAGCUUCCACUAGAUCCUUAUUAUAAUUGAGCCUAAAAGAAGCCACGUCACUGUCUUCAAUUCGUUGAGGAAAGAUCUGGUGGAGUACCAAGAAAUGCAAGACAUGCUAGGCUUGUAAUAAUUCUGGACCUUUAUCUCUAUGCAAAAGUUUGUUUUCUAAAUUUUAUCCCUGUUACACUAUAUCAUUCAUUAUUCUAAUCCGCAGCGCAUGGAAACAAUUCAUAAGGACACACAAAGGUUCAUUCAAAGAAAAACUUAUAUGGAACACAGACUUCCCGGUACGUAUGAAGUCUGCACAUUUAUUACAUUGUAUAACAAGAAUAUUUCAUAACUUAUUUUUUUCCGCACUGAAGUGCUUAAGACAGGAACCCGGGAAUAAUCUAUGUGGCUACUACAUCUGUGAGCACAUGCACAGUUUUAUGGGACCCAAGGGACUAAAGAUGACGCCGCACAACUUUAAAGUAUGUAAAAUAAAACUAUUACUAGUUAAUUAUUUUCUAGCUCCUUAUAUGUAUUUGUUCGUGUAACAUUCACAAAUUUCCAAAUUAUAGAUGUUAAAUAUUCAACAAGGACUCUUGAAGGAAGAAAGAGUAGCGGCAAUAUGUGAAGGUCUCAUUGGAUUCCUAAUGGACGAGGUGGUAGAUCCAAAAGGAGAAUUUUAUUACGAUGGACGACAAUUAGACACUCCGAUCAGCAACACCUUGACGGGAAGAUUGUAGAUAGAUACUUUGAUUUAUUUGUAUAUAUAAUACGCGCUAAUUAUGAUCGAUUUGUACUAGUUGAAUUGUGUAUCAGAAUUGUGUAUAUAUAUAGUAAUUGUAUAAUUACAAAUCCCAUUCGUUUAAAUACUAGUUGAUUUCAUUCUAAAAAAAUCUCAACUACUAAAGGUUAACAAAAGGGCUGCGGUACUACGUACGUGAUGCAUGCAUGAAAAAUUCAGGCGCCAGGCAGUGCCAUGCAGGGCGCCAUUUAGUCCCGGUUGGACCGGGACUAAAGGGCCUAUCCCGCGCCUGGCGUGGCAGGCCCUUUAGUCCCGGUUGGUGACACCAACCGGGAUUAAAGGGGGACCUUUACUCCCGGUUAAAAGACCCGGGACUAAAGACCCCCCCCUUUUGUCCCGUUUGGUUUAUCCCGGAUGGAUUUUCGGGAGAUAUGCACCCUACCAACCGGGACUAAAGGCCAAUUCUCUACCAGUGACGAGUGCACGAUCAGACAUCCUGCAUUGUUAAGUCUUCGAUGAUACGGCUGCCUUGCUUCCUCAGCUUGUCAGCAACUGCUUCCUGACUGCUACAGUACAAUUAUUGCAUGGUAUCAAGGUAAUAUAUAUAGUGACUGAAUGAGCACAUAUAACAUAUGCAUUUAGGCCUCCAACUGGUCAUUGCACGAGCUGCCUCCUCUCCUUACCUCUGAAUUAUGGAGCCAUAUCCAACAACAACCUUGACAGUGAUGAUGAUGACGGCGAUGAUGAAAUUAAGAAAAGAAGCUUUAUGCAAAUUGCAAAAAGCUGAAAUAAGUGGUUGAAACAUUUCAAAUCACCAAAUGCCACAUUUGAAAUGACUAGAUGAAACAUCACGAAAUCAAUUGCAACAGUUGAAGAUGAAACAUUCAAACGCCUUGCCUUUCUCCAGAUUUGACCCUCCAAGCAUAUAUGAGUCCAGCCAUUUGCACAUUAGACCCUUGGGAGGAGCUCACCGGAGAACAACAAGACCGUGUUCUCCAACAAUUUUCCGAUCAAAUUGCAACAUAAAAAACAAAGCAUUGCAACACAUCUGGCAUCGCGAGCUACAACAUCAACCAGUUAGGAUCAGGAGAAAGAGGGCAAACCCAAGCCUAGCAAUGAGUUAUAUCCAGUUUAAACGAGGAUAAAAAUGAGUGUAUUUUCCACUCAUCAUGUUGUCUUUUCGCAGCUGUACCGCCUUUAGUGUGUUGUAUUGUUCCCCUAACACCAAGUCUCCGAGGCCCGAGAAAAUAAGGAAAGUGAUAGCAGCCUAGAAAUCGACCAAGUUUCUUUCCCCCUUUGGCAUUCCUACUAGGAUUCGGAAUACUCUUUCGCAUGACAAUCAUAAUUAUCUCCCAUAAUCCAAAACUCACAAAAACAUCAAAAAUCCGCCGAGAAUAAAUUAAGUAAAAAACAUGCACAAACAGAUAAUAAUAAUAAUCAUGUUUCAAUAAACUUGCUAAGGCCAGAGACAAUACAUAAACAUAUUAGACUGUUCAUGACACAUAUCACGGUGGACAGUGUCUGUGUCCUUAUUACAAGCAGCGAGAGGAAUUAAAUAUGCUUGUCACCACACACACGCGCCCACAGAUGCACGACACACAUAUAGUUGAGACCAACAGAUGGACCUCGACUAGAGGUCGCCCCAUAUGGUGAACAAUUUAUUGGAGAUAAACAUGAACAUAACUUGGCCAUAGCUUGAAGCAUAGCAACAUAUGCCUAUGAAUGGCAUUCAUGCUGGUAGCAAUGCAAUCAUAUCGUUUUAGGCUUGUCCAGCUUCUUCCAUCUUAGCAAGCACUGCCAUUUCUUCCAUCUUAGCAGCAACUGUCAAAUUGAGAUAUGGAAAUCCCAUUAGCGCAUGAGUUAAUUUUGCAGUGGAAAUAGAGUACAAGAUGUCUGCAUGAUGUAAGUAAUAUGCCUGAAGUUGUGAGAUGAGAAGUGAAGUCAACAAAUUACAUUAACGGAAAUGCAUGGAAGGCCACACAUACGUAUUAGUCCACGAUAUGCUACAAAGCUUGUAUGUACAUAUAACAAAUUAAAUGCAUUGAAUAGAGUGAGUUUACUAAAUUUACCAGAAUCGGACAGAACACAUGGGAAACAGCAAGUGUUCUUGCAGAGUGAGUCGGAGCCACCUGCAGUAAUACAAGCAAAACAACAUGCUUUUGCCCGGGCGG
RNAcentral lists this long non-coding RNA (20364 nucleotides) under Setaria italica (foxtail millet). Its description in RNAcentral is "long non-coding RNA (SITA_LNC006094)". The record is from RNAcentral. Lineage: Eukaryota; Viridiplantae; Streptophyta; Magnoliopsida; Poales; Poaceae.